AUUAAUAUGCUGCAGUAUAAUUUCUUCCAUUCCCUUGAGUUCUUUAGGACCAGUCUCACAUGCCACAAAACAUAAUCAUCAACUCAGUAUAAGAGUACCAGAGCAUCUAAGAUGUGAAGCAUUGAACCAAAGGAACUGAUGUCCACUGAGCUUUGCCUUUACCCCAUGGAAGACCAUCACACAUCUGUGACUUAGUAAAGUCCUCCUGAUCUACAAGUUGGCCUUCAAGUGGCAUCUUCUUAGCAGGAUCACAAAGCAUUCAACACAUGCUCUGAAGAAUUGGCCUUGUCUACGAAAAGAGCAGUGGAAAUACUCCACGCUCAGAUUUACUGUGGAAUUCAAGAAGAUUGCUGCUUUUUGCUUAACUUUCUCCUGUGACAGAUUUGCAAGCUGCAGGAGUGGCUGUUGGGUGACCAUUUCUCCUUCAGACACACAGGGGGGCACUUUGCAGAAAGCUGUCAUUAGGAGUGGAAGCAGAAGACACCUGGAGAAACGUGUUGUGUUGCUCAGAGUAAUUUUACUCAUAUUCCAUAAGCAAAGGAGGAAGCUGUAUGUCUGAGGAAGUGACAAAGGCGUUUGCAAGGAGUGGGAAAAGAGACCCUGAAGAGUCUUUAUAAUUGUACUAGGAUAGAGAAGGAAAGAGCUAGGUGCUUGUGCCUUCUGCUCCUCCAGCAAGUUUUUGAAAGCAGCCUUUUCAGUAAGUCACUGCUUCUUCUGUGUUACUGAAGAGGAGGAAACUUUGCUCUGACAAGGGAGUCCUUAGGAACGUUUG
This is a long non-coding RNA of Zonotrichia albicollis (white-throated sparrow), 772 nucleotides long. Lineage: Eukaryota; Metazoa; Chordata; Aves; Passeriformes; Passerellidae. The record is from Ensembl.